RNAcentral lists this ribosomal RNA (493 nucleotides) under Leiolepis guentherpetersi. RNAcentral's name for it is "partial 16S ribosomal RNA". It matches the Rfam family "Bacterial large subunit ribosomal RNA", at positions 1850 to 2612 of the family's 2925-position model. The record is from RNAcentral. Lineage: Eukaryota; Metazoa; Chordata; Lepidosauria; Squamata; Agamidae.
AGGUAACGCCUGCCCAGUGAGGACCCUCCCCCUUAAACGGCCGCGACAUAACCGUGUAAAGGUAGCACAAUCACUUGCCCCUUAAAUAGAGGCUAGUAUGAACGGCUUCAUGAGAAAGUGACUGUCUCUUAGGACUGAUCUAUGAAACUUAUCUCCUCGUACAAAAGCGAGAAUAAAAAAAUAAGACAAAAAGACCCUGUGAAGCUUAAAAUCAAACUUCAACCACAGUGAUGUACAUUUUUAGUUGGGGCAACUAGAAGGAAACAAAACCCUUCAAAAUGUAAAGGCCAACAAGCCUAAACAGCAAAAACUAUGACCCGAUAAAAUCGAACAAAGAACCAAGCUACUCCAGGGAUAACAGCACCACAUUCUUGCAGAGUCUAUAUCAACAAGAAUACCUACGACCUCGAUGUUGGAUCAGGAUAUCCUGAUGGUGCAGAAGCUAUCAAGGGUCCGUUUGUUCAACGGUUAAAAUCCUACGUGAUCUGAGUCA